RNAcentral lists this ribosomal RNA (821 nucleotides) under uncultured Sphingobacteriia bacterium. RNAcentral's name for it is "bacterial SSU rRNA". It matches the Rfam family "Bacterial small subunit ribosomal RNA", at positions 75 to 896 of the family's 1533-position model. Lineage: Bacteria; Pseudomonadati; Bacteroidota; Sphingobacteriia. The record is from RNAcentral.
GGAGCUUGCUUCUAAUGAGAGUGGCGCACGGGUGCGUAACACGUAUGUAACCUACCUCAGUCAGGGGGAUAGCCUCUCGAAAGAGAGAUUAAGACCGCAUAACAUUGUUUUAUGGCAUCAUAGGACAAUCAAAUAUUUAUAGGACUGAGACGGGCAUGCGGAACAUUAGCUAGUUGGUAAGGUAACGGCUUACCAAGGCUACGAUGUUUAGGGGAUCUGAGAGGAUGGCCCCCCACACUGGUACUGAGACACGGACCAGACUCCUACGGGAGGCAGCAGUAAGGAAUAUUGGUCAAUGGGCGCAAGCCUGAACCAGCCAUGCCGCGUGCAGGAAGACGGCCCUACGGGUUGUAAACUGCUUUUGCAGGGGAAUAAACCCCCGUACGUGCUACGGGGCUGAAUGUACUCUGAGAAUAAGGAUCGGCUAACUCCGUGCCAGCAGCCGCGGUAAUACGGAGGAUCCAAGCGUUAUCCGGAUUUAUUGGGUUUAAAGGGUGCGUAGGUGGCCUGUUAAGUCAGGGGUGAAAGACGGUAGCUUAACUAUCGCAGUGCCCUUGAUACUGACGGGCUUGAAUGAACUAGAGGUAGGCGGAAUGUGACAAGUAGCGGUGAAAUGCAUAGAUAUGUCACAGAACACCAAUUGCGAAGGCAGCUUACUAUGGUUUUAUUGACACUGAGGCACGAAAGCGUGGGGAUCAAACAGGAUUAGAUACCCUGGUAGUCCACGCCCUAAACGAUGAAUACUCGAUGUUGGCGAUAUAUGGUCAGCGUCUAAGCGAAAGCGUUAAGUAUUCCACCUGGGGAGUACGCCCGCAAGGGUG